CCCCCGAUAGCUCAGUUGGCAGAGCGGAGGACUGUAGAUGGUUUCAGCAUAUCCUUAGGUCUCGUGUUCGACUCACGGUUGGGGGA
This 86-nucleotide transfer RNA is filed under the name Chrysochromulina tobinii. Its description in RNAcentral is "Chrysochromulina sp. CCMP291 tRNA". It matches the Rfam family "tRNA". From Rfam's summary of the family: Transfer RNA (tRNA) molecules are approximately 80 nucleotides in length. Lineage: Eukaryota; Haptophyta; Prymnesiales; Chrysochromulinaceae. The record is from Rfam by way of RNAcentral.